GGGGGGGGGGGGGGCUAGGAUGAAAAAUUUUGUCCUGCCUUUUUUUUUAGUUGUAAUCUCUGUCCUGCCUUUUUAUUUUUCAGUCUAUUCGGUCCUGCCUCUUUUUUUCUUAGCUUAUCCUGACUUUUUUACAACAAUUGUCAUCCUGCCUUUUUUUUUUUGCCAAGUUACUCAUCCUGCCUUUUUUUUUUUACUCAAAAUCCUGUCCUGCCUUUUUUUUCAAAUUUCAUCCUAGCUCCCCCCAUAAAAAUCAAAUGGUAGCUCCCUUAGACUGGAUAGGCCUUAUAAUUUUUUUCCC
Molecule: long non-coding RNA, 298 nt
Filed under: Mytilus galloprovincialis (Mediterranean mussel)
Lineage: Eukaryota; Metazoa; Mollusca; Bivalvia; Mytilida; Mytilidae
Source: RNAcentral